RNAcentral lists this ribosomal RNA (253 nucleotides) under uncultured bacterium. RNAcentral describes it as "partial 16S ribosomal RNA". It matches the Rfam family "Bacterial small subunit ribosomal RNA", at positions 524 to 776 of the family's 1533-position model. The record is from RNAcentral.
UACGGAGGGUGCAAGCGUUGUCCGGAAUCACUGGGCGUAAAGGGCGCGUAGGCGGCCUGGUAAGUAGGGGGUGAAAUCCUGCGGCUUAACCGCAGGGCUGCCUUCUAAACUGUCAGGCUUGAGCACGGUAGAGGCAGAUGGAAUUCCCGGUGUAGCGGUGGAAUGCGUAGAGAUCGGGAAGAACAUCAGUGGCGAAGGCGGUCUGCUGGGCCGUUGCUGACGCUGAGGCGCGAAAGCUAGGGGAGCGAACGGG